CAGAUCCUUACAGUCAGUACAAAGUCAGAAGUCUCAGACCUCAAGGAGUUUUGACAGCUGGAACAAAAUGCUGAAAGGUGGAGAAUGAAUUUGACCUGUGGACUAUAUUUUGCACACACAAUUUAAAGGAAUGAGGAAAGUCAGUCUUUAAGAUCUUCAACCAAUUGGAUGAAGCCCACUCACAUUAUGGAGAGUAGUCUGCUUAACUCAAAGUCUGCUUACUGAUUUGAAUGGUUGUUGCUACUGAUUACUGACUCCAAUUCAAGUUCAAAACAUUCUGAAGCAGUGAUUUUUGAAGGAGUUGGAUCCAAAUGUUGAAGGAUGAAUAGAACACAGGCUCUUCUCUACAGGAGUUCAUCAUAUAAUUGGGAGUGGAGUUGUGCGAGAAGAAACGAGUGUUAUUUUGGAAAACUUAUGGUGACUUUUAACUGUACUCAGUACAACUCUGAACUUAGUGCCAUGUGGGAUCACAAGAACUCAAAACCGCACACAAGCAUGGCCAAUGAGGCACAUAUGUAAAGUGGAUAUGAUUUGAUCGUUGAUGGGCUACUACAUGUGAAGAACUGCACAGGAGUGGGAGAGCCAAGCUGGUCCACAGACAUCACGAGAACAUCAGAGCCCAGCGGAGAAGGAGUUCCUGGCUUUCAGUCAUGCUUCAUGUCUGUAGGAGCUUCUGGUCAUUCUGCUCCUGUGGGGAUGCACACUACUGGAGGCUUUGAAGCAACAUAAAAGUCCUUCCAUUUGUGCUAAAUACCAAACUCUAAACCCUGAGCUCCUGAAACAGAAAAUGUGCUUGGAUCCCACUGUGUCCCCUGCCUCUAUUGUCUUGGGAAUAUGCAUAUGGCAUCACUUGUUUACUCCCUCUGUAUAUUGAUUCCAUUAUCAAAAGAUCCUGUAGAGAAUCUUGGGGGUGUUUGCCCAGGGGAUGAGACUGUGACUGCUGCACUGGUCCUUGUAUUGUGCUGAACCUCGAUAUGUUAACAUCAGACACUUUAGUUAGGGAACGCUCGUAACUCCAGCCGCUGUCAACUCUUACAGACUGGGAAGGAGGAAGAUGGAAAAAUGCAAAGUGCAUGGGGUACAGAAGACCUGAAGACUGAACCUCUAGACGGAGUGCAGAGAAGCUGGCGCUUCUCAGCUUUCCCCAGGAGGCCGCUGAGAAAGGGUGCACUGCUUGGU
Molecule: non-coding RNA, 1179 nt
Organism: Oryctolagus cuniculus (rabbit)
Lineage: Eukaryota; Metazoa; Chordata; Mammalia; Lagomorpha; Leporidae
Source: RefSeq, a predicted model, not a curated record